GAGUUUGAUCAUGGCUCAGGACGAACGCUGGCGGCGUGCCUAAUACAUGCAAGUCGAGCGGGGAGUCUUGAGACGGAGGCUUCGGCCGAAGUCUUAAGGGCCCUAGCGGCGGACGGGUGAGUAACGCGUGGGUAACCUGCCCUAUCGCCCGGGAUAACCCUCGGAAACGAGGGCUAAUACCGGAUGCGGUCACCGGCUCGCAUGAGCGGGUGACGAAAGGGCCAUGGGUCCGCGAUAGGAUGGGCCCGCGUCCCAUUAGCUAGUUGGUGGGGUAACGGCCCACCAAGGCGACGAUGGGUAGCCGGCCUGAGAGGGUGGACGGCCACACUGGCACUGAGACACGGGCCAGACUCCUACGGGAGGCAGCAGUAGGGAAUCUUGCGCAAUGGGCGAAAGCCUGACGCAGCGACGCCGCGUGGGGGAUGAAGGUCUUCGGAUCGUAAACCCCUGUCUUUGGGGACGAAGGAUGACGGUACCCAAAGAGGAAGCCCCGGCUAACUACGUGCCAGCAGCCGCGGUAA
Molecule: ribosomal RNA, 521 nt
Filed under: uncultured bacterium
Lineage: Bacteria
Description: bacterial SSU rRNA
Rfam family: Bacterial small subunit ribosomal RNA
Source: RNAcentral